This 803-nucleotide ribosomal RNA is filed under the name uncultured organism. RNAcentral's name for it is "SSU rRNA". It matches the Rfam family "Bacterial small subunit ribosomal RNA", at positions 28 to 801 of the family's 1533-position model. The record is from RNAcentral.
GACGAUCGCUGGCGGCGUGCUUAACACAUGCAAGUCGAACGAAGAGCGAUGGAAGCUUGCUUCUAUCAAUCUUAGUGGCGAACGGGUGAGUAACGCGUAAUCAACCUGCCCUUCAGAGGGGGACAACAGCUGGAAACGACUGCUAAUACCGCAUACGAUCCAAUCUCGGCAUCGAGGAUGGAUGAAAGGUGGCCUCUAUUUAUAAGCUAUCACUGAAGGAGGGGAUUGCGUCUGAUUAGCUAGUUGGAGGGGUAACGGCCCACCAAGGCGAUGAUCAGUAGCCGGUCUGAGAGGAUGAACGGCCACAUUGGGACUGAGACACGGCCCAGACUCCCACGGGAGGCAGCAGUGGGGAAUCUUCCGCAAUGGACGAAAGUCUGACGGAGCAACGCCGCGUGAAUGAUGACGGCCUUCGGGUUGUAAAGCUCUGUUAAUCGGGACGAAAGGCCUUCUUGCGAAUAGUUAGAAGGAUUGACGGUACCGGAAUAGAAAGCCACGGCUAACUACGUGCCAGCAGCCGCGGUAAUACGUAGGUGGCAAGCGUUGUCCGGAAUUAUUGGGCGUAAAGCGCGCGCAGGCGGAUUGGUCAGUCUGUCUUAAAAGUUCAGGGCUUAACCCCGUGAUGGGAUGGAAACUGCCAAUCUAGAGUAUCGGAGAGGAAAGUGGAAUUCCUAGUGUAGCGGUGAAAUGCGUAGAUAUUAGGAAGAACACCAGUGGCGAAGGCGACUUUCUGGACGAAAACUGACGCUGAGGCGCGAAAGCCAGGGGAGCGAACGGGAUUAGGUACCCCGGUAGUCCUGGCC